This 646-nucleotide long non-coding RNA is filed under the name Pongo abelii (Sumatran orangutan). Its description in RNAcentral is "lincRNA". The record is from RNAcentral. Lineage: Eukaryota; Metazoa; Chordata; Mammalia; Primates; Hominidae.
GCCUAUGAUCUACCGUGUCGAUUCCAACUCAGAGAAUCUUUACAUCUGGAGAUCUACAGCAGGGCUAUCCCUAGUGACAUGCGUGAAGGAGCUUGGAAAUGGUGCUGGGUAGGAGCUGAGUGUGCAGAAUGUGGAAAGGCAUUCUAAACCUAAGGAAGAACAUGAGUAAAGAUGAUGAAGCAGGGAUAAGGCUAAAAUGAAAUAUGUGAUCUGAUCCACAUACAAACACAGCGUAGUACAGCUGGAAUAUAGAGAAGAGCUUGAGGACCCAUGAGCAACUAUCCCAGUACUCUUGGAGGCUCUGCCACCACAGUUUGAGAAACUCCGCAUUCAAAGUUAAAAACUGUCACCUGAAUAGUUAAUAACAUCAAAGAUUGUGAAAGCAAGUAUAAAUAACACAGAGAUUAAAAUAAUGAGGCAGGAUCAGAAAGGAUUAUUUUCAGACCUCAUGAAGCUGCUGGCUUAUAGAACAGGAGUCUUUCUGUUGGCAGCCAGGAGAGAUACAAGAGGGGGAGGACAGAUUCUGCAGCUCCAUUUCGCCCUUGGGACAGGAGAAAGGGUUGGAAAACAAAGAUCACUUUUCUCUGGCCAAAUGGAGUCACCCAACGAAGUACCUUCCUAAUGGGCCAGCUCUUUCAGAUGACGA